UUCUUCUCUCUUAUGGCAUUCACCAAACCUACAGCGCCCUGUCAUACACAUCACUCAUUUCCUUUUAUCGGAUUUAAUCUGUCAGCUAUGUCAAAAAAACGAUCGUCGUUUAAUGGGUUUAGGCACGUAUUCAAGGACAGUUCAUUUGAACUCAAUGGACUUUACGAUGUCUAUCUGCUCAUAGUGGAAGCUUUGCCCGAUAAGAGGGGGGAUUAACCUGUGAGGGAAAACGGAAAGACUUGCCAGAUUGUUUUAUUUCCCUUGAUCAUGUCAAAGUCUAGCUCACUUGUCCUGUGUAUUGUAACAGGUGGGCUAAGUUUGGAUGACAGACGUGACUCCCGCGAGGAUGUUGUGUGACACGUGGUCGAUCAGUCAGCUUGCCAAGCGAUGACUCGGAGAUCAUGCCAAUCAACUGAACACAAACAUCGUUUCAUGUAGCUCUGUUUGGUCUUGUGGAAGGUUAAAAAAGUAAAACUUAAGCUUAAGUGCAAGCUUUUCUCUGAAAUAUCAAUUUCCUCCCACUGCUGUUCUUUGUCAUCUAACUGAUAGUCCCAAUGGGGUCAUGGCAUUUACGGCUAACGGUUAAAAUUUUGGCCAACUUACGUCAAACGAAAGGCUCAAAAUACACAAGCAAUUGACGUCGGCAUUGACAGUUUCACCUGGUGUCAUUUUAUGCUUUCUUGAGGAGGUUAAUUCCUUGACUCAUUCCAAAGCAAAUCAGAAACUUUAGAGAUUUGAAUCUUCAAGAUUUACGAAGAGCGAAGGGUACUAUAAUCCAAUUUAAAAUGUAAAUUUAAUUUUUAUUGAAUUGUAAUUUGAUGUUGUCAACUUUGAUUCAGUACCUUUAUGAGCUAAGUACAUGAAUGAUACAUAAUUACGUUUCAUAUUGUAAGGAGAGGACUAUUUGCCGUUUUUGAGGGACUCAUUGUUCCUCACCAUGUAUGAAACGAGCUUAAAAAAAGAAAGAAGUCAAAGGCUACACAGAAAACAAGCUUAAAUAAAGGAGAUCUGCAGCUAAAAAGAAAAUAUCAUAGAGGAUGGAAAGUAUCUAUUUUACACAGAAGAAAUCAAAUUUAUGUCAACAUCGCCAUUUCAUUGCCGUCAUUUAGAAGCCGUCUAAAAGUCAACGGUUAGUCUUACAAAACAAUCUUGUCUUUUGAGCCAACAACUGUUCUAAAGGUUGCCAUGUGUGGUUAGUAGUCCAUUUCUACCGGAAGACCGAAGAUUUUCAUAAUCACGUACCUAACCACACUGUGGCGUUUUUCACACAAGCUUAUUAUUGUCCAGUGCCGCCCCCAUCGUUUGCCUGGGGAAUGUGUGAUACCCCAUGUAUCAGAAUGAUUCUGACUUUCAAGUUUGUGGAUGGAACCCUAAUGUGUAAAAAUGAUGCAAAUGAAAAACAAUGUGCUUCAAUGUAUCUACCUUUUGAGGUGUGCGGUUAAAACCGUAUUGUAAUGUUCGCAAAUGGAGGCUUCUCGACAGAACUUCAACAUGACUUCUAAAGUUUUGUUUGGCCAGACAAAACCGCAAAACAAAUUGAGUGUAUUUGACUGAGAGCCUGCAGAUCGUAUCAGCGAACCCUUCAGACCAAGGACAGUCUCACAUGAUUGCCGGAGAAGUUCCCUAAUAGGAAUUUAAUCGUCGCUUUUUGUUUCUUUUGAUCGGAGCAACUUGUGGGACGAACGUUUAAGUUCACGAAUCUUGCCUAACUCGACUUUCUGAUGUGUUCCAAACGGCGUUGAACGGUCAUCGCAAGUUCGCGACAACAAUGCCGGAGCAUAAUUCUUGGAAUUAAAGAAAUCUUACUCUGUGAACAUAAAUCCUAAACAGAGAAACUUUUUUCCUGAAACUGCAGAAAUAUAUGCACGUAAACGGUAGUAGUGUCGAUCAACUCAUCUUUGUAGAUCUUUGAGAGUCAUGUACAAGCAUUGCGCACGUUUGAAAACAAGUAUAUAGCGAUGCAAUUUAGGUGAGAAGAAACUGAGUUGUAUUUACUUAUAUUUUGUUUAACGAUCGAAAUGAGAAGAAGUUACCCUAUCGUUGAAGCUGUCCCUGAAAUAUAGCAGGCACCAAAUAGGACAGCAUGGAUAAUAUUGUGAGCUCGUUUUCGAUAUAUUUUGUGUCGUACUUUAGUUUCAGUGAAUGAAAAUGAAACGUGUAUUAAAGUGAGUUAGGUUCAUCUGGCCAACCCAAAGAUUCAUUCUUUACCUUUUGUGCUAUAACAGAGAAGAAAUAAAGGACUUCGCCAGAGUAUUUCCCUCAUACCUGCACGAAUUUUCGCACAACAUGCAUGCAGGGAUUAUUAAUCCGUAGCAUGUUUCGAAUUCAUGCGGAGUAUAUUACUCCUUACCGGUGUUAAUUCGUUGUUUUUUAAGAAGGAU
Molecule: long non-coding RNA, 2381 nt
Filed under: Stylophora pistillata
Lineage: Eukaryota; Metazoa; Cnidaria; Anthozoa; Scleractinia; Pocilloporidae
Description: uncharacterized LOC111333336, transcript variant X2
Source: RNAcentral